RNAcentral lists this ribosomal RNA (256 nucleotides) under uncultured bacterium. RNAcentral's name for it is "partial 16S ribosomal RNA". It matches the Rfam family "Bacterial small subunit ribosomal RNA", at positions 521 to 776 of the family's 1533-position model. The record is from RNAcentral.
UAAUACGGAGGGUGCAAGCGUUAAUCGGAAUUACUGGGCGUAAAGCGCGCGUAGGUUGUUAGUUAAGCGAGAUGUGAAAUCCCCGGGCUUAACCUGGGAAUUGCGUUUCGAACUGGCUGACUAGAGUACGGUAGAGGGUGGUGGAAUUUCAGGUGUAGCGGUGAAAUGCGUAGAGAUCUGAAGGAACAUCAGUGGCGAAGGCGACCACCUGGACUGAUACUGACACUGAGGUGCGAAAGCGUGGGGAGCAAACAGG